This 254-nucleotide ribosomal RNA is filed under the name uncultured bacterium. RNAcentral's name for it is "partial 16S ribosomal RNA". It matches the Rfam family "Bacterial small subunit ribosomal RNA", at positions 524 to 776 of the family's 1533-position model. The record is from RNAcentral.
UACAUAGGGUGCGAGCGUUGUCCGGAAUUAUUGGGCGUAAAGAGCUCGUAGGCGGUCUGUCGCGUCGGUCGUGAAAACCUGCAGCUUAACUGUGGGCGUGCGGUCGAUACGGGCAUGACUGGAGUUCGGCAGGGGAGACUGGAAUUCCUGGUGUAGCGGUGAAAUGCGCAGAUAUCAGGAGGAACACCGGUGGCGAAGGCGGGUCUCUGGGCCGAUACUGACGCUGAGGAGCGAAAGCGUGGGGAGCGAACAGG